AUGAUUCUUAAAGGUUUGCCAGAAUCGUUUAAACCAUUCGCAGUUCAUGUAACACAGAGUGAUGAAACUAUGACUUUUGCAGAAUUUAAGACAAAGCUCAGAAGUUUUGAAAACACUGAAACGUAUGCUAGGUCAAAUGACGAUAACGUUAUGAAAGCAAGUGGUGCAGCUUCUGUGAGAAGAGGAGGGAGAGAGAAAAACGCAGACCCUGAUAAUAUUACAUGUUAUAAUUGCGGUCAAAAAGGACAUAAAGCCUGGAGAUGUCCAAAUGAACGUCGUAAAAGUCAAAAACAGUGGUGUAGCUAUUGCAAAAGCUCAACACACAAAGACGCAUCUUGCAGACGCAAAAGAAGAGACGACGUAAAACAAGCGACGCAUGAUGAAGAGGACGCAGAUAAACAUGCAUUUGUCUUCAAAACGUGUGAUUAUCAACUAGACGGGCUGAAACAUAAAGGACUAAUGGUUGACACGGGAGCAACAUCACACAUAAUUACCGACAUCGGAAAGUUUAAGAAAUUUGACAAGACUUUCCAAACGGGCAAACAUUUCAUUGAGCUUGCGGACGGGACAAGAGCGAGUGGCGUUGCGCUGAAGAGAGGUGACGCGGAGAUAUGUUUGAUUGACAGUGAAGGAAAGCAAGUGAGCACAACGCUAAAGAAAGCAUUGUACAUUCCUUCAUAUCCACAAGACAUAUUCUCUGUUAAAGCAGCGACUGCCAACGGGGCUUCUGUUCGUUUUCGACAAGGACAUGACGAGCUCAUCCACAAGGAUGGCACGAGAUUUGAAAUAAAAGAGUAUAAUAGACUGUACUAUCUAAACACUAUAGAUAAGGGAGGAGAUUAUUGUAACGGCUGUUACGACAUUCAAACUUGGCACGAAAUCCUCGGCCACUGCAACUAUGAUGAUGUUUCCAAGUUGCCAGAUAUUGUGAAAGGAAUGGAAAUCAAAGGAAAGAUUGACAAGUCCAAACUGCACUGUGAAGUCUGCACACAAGGCAAAUUUGCGCAAAGCAGGAACAGAGAACCCGAUGCACGUGCCAAAGUCCCACUUGAACUUGUGCACACAGACUUGGCUGGUCCUAUUCAACCAGAGGCUAAAGACGGUCACAGGUAUGCACUUGUAUUUGUUGAUGAUUUCUCAAGCACAAUAUUUGUUUACUUCCUGAAAGCGAAAAGUGACACUGUAAAGGCUACGGAAAAAUUCCUAGCAUACACUGCUCCUUAUGGUACUGUAAAGUGCAUUAGGUCAGAUAAUGGCACUGAAUUCACAGCAACAAAUUUUCGGUCAUUGCUAAGCAAAAAUUGCAUUAAACAUGAGACCUCUGCACCGUAUUCACCCCACCAAAACGGUACUGCUGAAAGAAGUUGGCGAACAUUGUUUGAAAUGGCCAGAUGCAUGUUCCUUGAGAGUAAAUUACCAAAAGAGUUAUGGACUUACGCUGUGAUGACUGCUGCAGUAAUUCGCAACAGAUGCAUUAAUAACAGAGUAAAGCAGACUCCAUACUACAUGUUGACAGGAAGAAAACCGGAUCUUUCAAAGAUGAGAGUUUUUGGAUCCAUGUGCUAUGCAUACAAACACGACAGAAAGAAGCUAGAUUCACGUUGUGAGAAGGGAAUAUUUGUUGGGUAUGACAAGAAUAGCCCUUCAUACCUAGUGUAUUACACAGACACUGGAAGAGUCCUUAAACACAGGCUUGUCAAAUUCUUCAAGAAAUGUGCUGUCGAGCAGCAAACUCAAACUGACCCACAAAUACCAGAUGAGGAUGUUUAUGGGGAAGUUGUUUGCCAUCUAAGGUAA
Scleropages formosus (Asian bonytongue) is the source of this 1797-nucleotide long non-coding RNA. The record is from Ensembl. NCBI's taxonomy places the organism in Eukaryota, Metazoa, Chordata, Actinopteri, Osteoglossiformes, Osteoglossidae.